UACGUAGGGCGCAAGCGUUGUCCGGAAUUAUUGGGCGUAAAGAGCUCGUAGGCGGCCUGUUGCGUCCGCUGUGAAAACCCGGGGCUUAACCCCGGGCUUGCAGUGGAUACGGGCAGGCUGGAGGCAGGCAGGGGAGAACGGAAUUCCCGGUGUAGCGGUGAAAUGCGCAGAUAUCGGGAGGAACACCGGUGGCGAAGGCGGUUCUCUGGGCCUGUACUGACGCUGAGGAGCGAAAGCGUGGGGAGCGAACAGG
This 253-nucleotide ribosomal RNA is filed under the name uncultured bacterium. Its description in RNAcentral is "partial 16S ribosomal RNA". It matches the Rfam family "Bacterial small subunit ribosomal RNA", at positions 524 to 776 of the family's 1533-position model. The record is from RNAcentral.